GCCCAAUGCUACAUGCAAAUACAGAAUAGAAAAAUAUAUAAAAGAAAUACUAAUGACUGGAAAAAUAUUCUGAAUUUUCAAAAAUAGAAAAAGAAACUAUAAAUAUUAACUAAAAAUGUGGAAUUAUUUUUAACUAGUGGAGGAAGGGUAGCUACUAGAAUCGGUCCAUGGCGGCACCGGAAAAUCAGAACCAGUGGGCGGAUUCUGAUUUCGCGGGGGCCGGAAAUAACCUAAUUGUUGAUCAGCAAAAAGCAGAGGAAAUGAGGCAGAGGAUGAAGAAGAUGAUGAUAAUGACCCAGAAGAAGAUGCUGCAAGCGAAGGAGCUGAAAUGGAUGAAGAUAAUAAAGGCGAUGAAGAUAGAGAAGAAGUCAUUGAAACAGUCGAUUGUAAAGAUGCCAACUGCUGGUUAUAAAUCAUAUGCUCCAUCAAACUCGAGGGUUGAAUUCCAUGCAAGCCCCCGGUGCUCUGUAACAGCUGGGAGUACUCCAUGUAAUCUCUCAUCGCAUCAGCCUGAGACAGAAAGAACUGUGGCGGCAGCGUCGCCUGCUGCGGUGGCGCUUGAGGUGCUUGAGAUAACAAUGACUGUAACUGAGACGUCGGUUGAAGACCGAUAGGGAUUUGGGAAAUAGGAACAUUUUCCAUUGGAGGUGGCAAUAUUCUGACAUGUUCAGGGAAGUUUAGUUUAGCUCUACUUCCUCUAAAUCUUAACGCGGCUUCAUCGUAGGCUCUGGCGGCGGCCUCU
This 742-nucleotide unclassified non-coding RNA is filed under the name Hevea brasiliensis (rubber tree). The record is from RNAcentral. Lineage: Eukaryota; Viridiplantae; Streptophyta; Magnoliopsida; Malpighiales; Euphorbiaceae.